GAGGGUAUAGCUCAGUGGUAGAGCGCAUGCUUAGCAUGCAUGAGGUCCUGGGAUCAAUCCCCAGUGCCUCCG
Molecule: transfer RNA, 72 nt
Filed under: Camelus dromedarius (Arabian camel)
Lineage: Eukaryota; Metazoa; Chordata; Mammalia; Artiodactyla; Camelidae
Also listed under: 1 other name
Rfam family: tRNA
About the family: Transfer RNA (tRNA) molecules are approximately 80 nucleotides in length. Their secondary structure includes four short double-helical elements and three loops (D, anti-codon, and T loops).
Source: Rfam by way of RNAcentral